GCAUUUGCCAAGGAUGUUUUCAUUAAUCAAGNNNNNNNNNNNGAGGUUCGAAGGCGAUCAGAUACCGCCCUAGUUCUAACCAUAAACGAUGCCAACCAGCGAUCCGCCAAAGUUCCUCCGAUGACUCGGCGGGCAGCUUCCGGGAAACCAAAGUUUUUGGGCUCCGGGGGAAGUAUGGUUGCAAAGCUGAAACUUAAAGGAAUUGACGGAAGGGCACCACCAGGAGUGGAGCCUGCGGCUUAAUUCGACUCAACACGGGAAAACUCACCCGGCCCGGACACUGGAAGGAUUGACAGAUUGAGAGCUCUUUCUUGAUUCGGUGGGUGGUGGUGCAUGGCCGUUCUUAGUUGGUGGAGCGAUUUGUCUGGUUAAUUCCGAUAACGAACAAGACUCAAACCUACUAACUAGACGAUCGAUUUGGGCGAGCUGUUUCCUGCCUUCACGGUAGGAGCGGCACUGCCUCCGUUGGUCGAUAACUUCUUAGAGGAACAAGCGGCGCUCAGCCGCACGAGAUUGAGCAAUAACAGGUCUGUGAUGCCCUUAGAUGUCCGGGGCCGCACGCGCGCUACACUGAAGGAAUCAGCGUGUGUCCUUCCCUGGUCCGGCAGGACGGGGUAACCAGCUGAACCUCCUUCGUGGUAGGGAUCGGGGUUUGCAAUUGUUCCCCGUGAACGAGGAAUYCCUAGUAAGCGCGAGUCAUAAGCUCGCGUUGACUACGUCCCUGCCCUUUGUACACACCGCCCGUCGCUACUACCGAUUGAAUGAUUUAGUGAGGUCUUCGGACUGGCAGUCGCUGCGGCCUCUAGGUCGCGGCAACGCGUCGGGAAGAUGACCGAACUUGACCAUUUAGAGGAAGUAUAAGUCGUAACAAGGUUUCCGUAGGUGAACCUGCGGAAGGAUC
This 901-nucleotide ribosomal RNA is filed under the name Thereuopoda clunifera. RNAcentral's name for it is "SSU rRNA". It matches the Rfam family "Eukaryotic small subunit ribosomal RNA". The record is from RNAcentral. Lineage: Eukaryota; Metazoa; Arthropoda; Chilopoda; Scutigeromorpha; Scutigeridae.